GCACUGGGUUUUGUCAUGUAGAGAAAUGAUUAGGGAGAAUCGCUUCUCAAAGGUAAUAGAAUUAGUCAUAGGCGUUGGUGACAUCGUGAACCCAUUCCAUGAAACAAGCUUUUGUUGAGUUGUUCUCUUGACGCGCCAGGAAUCUCUUCUAUUCUACUCCAUUUCCCUCCAAUAUGCCGUCCCAAAAUCUGUGCACUGUAGAGGGAGAAAGAAAAAUGAUGUAAAUCUCAUUCAUGACAGUGGCCUGUUCUUCUUACUGGAAAGAGAAAUGAUGUAUAUCUCAGUCAUGAUAGUGGCUUGUGCUUCUUAUUGGAAAGAGAAAUGAUGUAAUUCUCAGUCAUGAUAGUUGGCCUGUGCUUCUUAAUGGCGACCUUUAUUUGAAAUUAUUUUGGGUUUAGGAACUUUUGUGAUUACUAUUUUAUUGGAAAAAGCUGAAUGAAAUAUGGAAAAUAAUUAAGGUGAGGGAGAUAAUGUAACCGUUGUUUAUGUCUUGUUAAGGCCAGUUGUUGCUCGAAGAGGAAUAAUAGAAGAGCCAGUGAAAAGUAGAGACUUUCCUGGCCAUCUGUCCAUUGGAAAAAUCAAAUUUCAGAAGCUAGGAGAAGAAAUGAGAAAAGCGGUAUCAACAUCACACUACUCCCAGAGUAACACAAUCGAAAAUGAGAUGGCCAUCGACUGGCGUGUCCUACAGGAAGAGUCUAGCCUGAGGUGGAAAGCUUUACAUCAGGAACAAGCAGCGGAAAUUGAACGUCUUAGUAGCAAGUUGAAGACCCUUAUUUAGAACUCUGUAUAGGAUCUAACGGGACUGGUUUUGUUGAUUUUCUUGUGGAUAUGGAUAUGGGGUUGCGCACCUAAGCACAGAGUAGUACAGAUAUUUUGUUUGAUGAUAGAAUGCAACUUUUUGUGCCGCACAAUAAUGCAUCUUUUGUCAUUCAGUGUGUUGGUGUGAAUUCCAACGUUGUAGGCAGUUAGCUAUAGGAUUAGUCAAAUAGCCUCUUUAGGAACAGCCCUUGAUUUAAGAAGGUUGUCAUUAGAUCCGUUAAAAUUUGACAAAUUUUUGUUUGGGUGGGACCAAAGGUGUCCUUGUUUUGCAAGCUUAAAAGGAGUAUUGAUGUUCAUUGUUAUAUA
This is a long non-coding RNA of Lycium ferocissimum, 1125 nucleotides long. RefSeq lists it as uncharacterized. The transcript is spliced from 4 exons. Lineage: Eukaryota; Viridiplantae; Streptophyta; Magnoliopsida; Solanales; Solanaceae. The record is from RefSeq and is a predicted model, not a curated record.